UGCGUAGGUGGUAUGGCAAGUCAGAAGUGAAAACCCAGGGCUUAACUCUGGGACUGCUUUUGAAACUGUCAGACUGGAGUGCAGGAGAGGUAAGCGGAAUUCCUAGUGUAGCGGUGAAAUGCGUAGAUAUUAGGAGGAACAUCAGUGGCGAAGGCGGCUUACUGGACUGAAACUGACGUUGAGGCUCAAAAAUAGUGGGUAGCAAACA
Molecule: ribosomal RNA, 208 nt
Filed under: uncultured bacterium
Lineage: Bacteria
Description: partial 16S ribosomal RNA
Rfam family: Bacterial small subunit ribosomal RNA
Source: RNAcentral